Molecule: long non-coding RNA, 538 nt
Organism: Gossypium arboreum
Lineage: Eukaryota; Viridiplantae; Streptophyta; Magnoliopsida; Malvales; Malvaceae
Exons: 2
Source: RefSeq, a predicted model, not a curated record
UGCCAUUUGUUUUCCUUUCUAAAAAAUUCAGAAAACUGCCCCUUUUCCCCCAUAUUCAUUCUCUGCUAAGGGUUAGAAAAUAACCCAUCACUGCAGUCAUCCGACCACCGCGCCACCAUCACAUUGGUGACCGGCGAUGCACCAAGAUGCGCUCCCUUAGCCCUCCUUUUCAUGCUCAUUGGAGACAUAUUCCUAAAGGCCGAAAGACAAGGGCUCAACCCUCCCUUUUUGCUUGACCACGCCGAACGGAGAAGAAAGCUCCGACGACGCGGUCACGAGGCUGAUUUGGCGCACGAAGGUCAACGAGACGUACAUGGCCGCUUUGGUGCAACGGGGGAAUGGAGGGCCGAACCUCGGGGGCCGAGCAUGCCGAGGGCGCACAUGGAGGCGCAACACCCUAAGCUGUUAGGGUUUCUGAGUUAUUUUGUGUUUUGGGCCGUUUUUUGCUUGGGCCUUGUGGUAAAAUGGACUGUUGUUAUUAUUUUGGUUUUUGUUUAAACGGGCCAGGCAAAAUUGGGCCCUUACAUUUAGGAUAUAA